GAUGAACGCUGGCGGCGUGCCUAAUACAUGCAAGUCGAGCGAACAGACGAGGAGCUUGCUCCUCUGACGUUAGCGGCGGACGGGUGAGUAACACGUGGAUAACCUACCUAUAAGACUGGGAUAACUUCGGGAAACCGGAGCUAAUACCGGAUAAUAUAUUGAACCGCAUGGUUCAAUAGUGAAAGACAGUUUUGCUGUCACUUAUAGAUGGAUCCGCGCCGCAUUAGCUAGUUGGUAAGGUAACGGCUUACCAAGGCAACGAUGCGUAGCCGACCUGAGAGGGUGAUCGGCCACACUGGAACGGAGACAAGGUCCAGACUCCUACGGGAGGCAGCAGUAGGGAAUCUUCCGCAAUGGGCGGAAGCCUGACGGAGCAACGCCGCGUGAGUGAUGAAGGUCUUCGGAUCGUAAAACUCUGUUAUUAGGGAAGAACAAAUGUGUAAGUAACUAUGCACGUCUUAACGGUACCUAAUCAGAAAGCCACGGCUAACUACGUG
Molecule: ribosomal RNA, 497 nt
Filed under: uncultured bacterium
Lineage: Bacteria
Description: partial 16S ribosomal RNA
Rfam family: Bacterial small subunit ribosomal RNA
Source: RNAcentral